AUGUAAGAAACAAUAACCUGAGUAAAAAUAUCCCCAUUCUGUUUUUUUAUCCCAGUUACUCUCGUUCAUGUUUUUUGUUCAACUCAGUUAUACCUGUUCAACCUUUUUACCUAUUUUCAAUAUGCCUAGUUAGACCCAUUCAUCCCUUUUAGCUUUACCCAAAUUCACCCCUAACACUUUAUUAUAAGUCCAAAUUGACCCUCGUAUAACAACCGUUGGGUCAGAAUUGCCAUUCAUAUUACCAGUGACCACUUAAAACUUAUUGUGUCUACAAUCUUAAAACAAUAAACAAAGAAAAUUACCAGUGAUCUAUUGUUGUAACAACUCAGAUGUAAGCUGCUUCAAGAAAACAACCUUUUUCCCCUUGAACCUCCUAGCCAAUAUAAUUAUUUUCCAUAAAAAACCAAAUCCAUAACAUAAUUGCCAAAAGGUUUGAUAAUUA
This 442-nucleotide long non-coding RNA is filed under the name Helianthus annuus (common sunflower). Its description in RNAcentral is "hypothetical non coding rna". The record is from RNAcentral. Lineage: Eukaryota; Viridiplantae; Streptophyta; Magnoliopsida; Asterales; Asteraceae.